RNAcentral lists this ribosomal RNA (514 nucleotides) under uncultured bacterium. RNAcentral describes it as "bacterial SSU rRNA". It matches the Rfam family "Bacterial small subunit ribosomal RNA", at positions 28 to 501 of the family's 1533-position model. The record is from RNAcentral.
GACGAACGCUGGCGGCGUGCCUAAUACAUGCAAGUCGAACGCACUCUCGUUUAGAUUGAAGGAGCUUGCUCCUGAUUGAUAAACAUUUGAGUGAGUGGCGGACGGGUGAGUAACACGUGGGUAACCUGCCCUAAAGUGGGGGAUAACAUUUGGAAACAGAUGCUAAUACCGCAUAAAACCUAACACCGCAUGGUGUAGGGUUGAAAGAUGGUUUCGGCUAUCACUUUAGGAUGGACCCGCGGUGCAUUAGUUAGUUGGUGAGGUAAAGGCCCACCAAGACCGUGAUGCAUAGCCGACCUGAGAGGGUAAUCGGCCACACUGGGACUGAGACACGGCCCAGACUCCUACGGGAGGCAGCAGUAGGGAAUCUUCCACAAUGGACGAAAGUCUGAUGGAGCAACGCCGCGUGAGUGGAGAAGGUUUUCGGAUCGUAAAACUCUGUUGUUGGAGAAGAAUGUAUCUGAUAGUAACUGAUCAGGUAGUGACGGUAUCCAACCAGAAAGCCACGGCUAAC